AAUUAAACGGCCGCGGUACCCUAACCGUGCAAAGGUAGCGUAAUCAUUUGUCUAUUAAUUGUAGACCCGUAUGAAAGGCAUAAUGAGGGUUUAACUGUCUCUUUUAGUAAAUCAAUUAAACUGAUCUCCUAGUCCAAAAGCUAGGAUACCAACAUAAGACCAGAAGACCCUGUGAAACUUUAACUAAAAUAUUAAAACCUAUAAUAACUACUUUAGGUUGGGGCGACCUUGGAAAAUAAAAGAACUUCCACACACAUAUUAUAUAAUAAUAUAUAACCGGCCAACAAGCCUACAACGACCCAGCACAGCUGACAAUUGAACCAAGCUACUCCAGGGAUAACAGCGCUAUCUUCUUCAAGAGCCCAUAUCAAAAAGAAGGUUUACGACCUCGAUGUUGGAUCAGGACAUCCUGAUGGUGCAACCGCUAUUAAGGGUUCGUUUGUUCAACGAUUAAUAGUCCUACGUG
RNAcentral lists this ribosomal RNA (466 nucleotides) under Hydrophis coggeri (slender-necked seasnake). Its description in RNAcentral is "partial 16S ribosomal RNA". It matches the Rfam family "Bacterial large subunit ribosomal RNA", at positions 1921 to 2602 of the family's 2925-position model. Lineage: Eukaryota; Metazoa; Chordata; Lepidosauria; Squamata; Elapidae. The record is from RNAcentral.